This 557-nucleotide long non-coding RNA is filed under the name Daucus carota (carrot). RNAcentral's name for it is "long non-coding RNA (DCAR_LNC007086)". The record is from RNAcentral. Lineage: Eukaryota; Viridiplantae; Streptophyta; Magnoliopsida; Apiales; Apiaceae.
UUGUACUUAAGUGUUUAGUGUCUUUUGAUGUGUUUUUAGUGUUUUUCUGUGCAGGUCACGAGUUGAGGUGAUGAAGUGAUUUUCUAUCAUUUUAGGUUGUUUUUGGUGCAUUAUUUGCAAGAAUAGAGAAUUGUGGAUUCAUCACGACUUGGGAUUUUGUGGGUACAUCUUCUACAAACCCUCACGAGAACACACUCGUCCACUAGAGCUAUCUAGGGGUUUAAAGGGCUUGUUGCAUGUGCUAAAUGCAACCGUGAUCACCUACGGAAGUGGUACUAGAGCGAGGAAGGACAUGCACGCGAGAACGAGCUGAAAAACGAAGAAUAGGGCUGCCAGUGGCAGACAGUAGCGCACCCGCGCUAACCUCUAGCGCGCCCGCGCUACCUACUGCUGCCACUAGCGCGCCUGCGCUAGUUUAGCGCGGCCGCGCCCUCCAGAAGUGUUCCGGGCCGAUUUUUACAGCUUUUCUGAUGGAUUUUCGCAGCGGACGAGGCCCGGUUGACUUAGUCAAAGCAUUUUAAUUUCUCAAGUGUAAAAACCCUAGCCUCGAAGUAGUU